RNAcentral lists this ribosomal RNA (647 nucleotides) under Salmonella enterica. Its description in RNAcentral is "partial 23S ribosomal RNA". It matches the Rfam family "Bacterial large subunit ribosomal RNA", at positions 1 to 688 of the family's 2925-position model. RNAcentral also lists the same sequence under 2 other names. The record is from RNAcentral. Lineage: Bacteria; Pseudomonadati; Pseudomonadota; Gammaproteobacteria; Enterobacterales; Enterobacteriaceae.
GGUUAAGCGACUAAGCGUACACGGUGGAUGCCCUGGCAGUCAGAGGCGAUGAAGGGCGUGCUAAUCUGCGAUAAGCGCCGGUAAGGUGAUAUGAACCGUUAUAACCGGCGAUACCCGAAUGGGGAAACCCAGUGUGAUUCGUCACACUAUCAUUAACUGAAUCCAUAGGUUAAUGAGGCGAACCGGGGGAACUGAAACAUCUAAGUACCCCGAGGAAAAGAAAUCAACCGAGAUUCCCCCAGUAGCGGCGAGCGAACGGGGAGGAGCCCAGAGCCUGAAUCAGCAUGUGUGUUAGUGGAAGCGUCUGGAAAGGCGCGCGAUACAGGGUGACAGCCCCGUACACAAAAGCGCAUGUGUUGUGAGCUCGAUGAGUAGGGCGGGACACGUGGUAUCCUGUCUGAAUAUGGGGGGACCAUCCUCCAAGGCUAAAUACUCCUGACUGACCGAUAGUGAACCAGUACCGUGAGGGAAAGGCGAAAAGAACCCCGGCGAGGGGAGUGAAAAAGAACCUGAAACCGUGUACGUACAAGCAGUGGGAGCACAGGUUUACCUGUGUGACUGCGUACCUUUUGUAUAAUGGGUCAGCGACUUAUAUUCUGUAGCAAGGUUAACCGUAUAGGGGAGCCGGAGGGAAACCGAGUCUUAAU